GCAACACUUUAGGAUCCUCAAAUACAUAGUGGAAUUUGUCCAGUAAUAGUUGCAAAUCCAUGGGAUAAGUAGUAGAGGAUGAAGUAGUUGCCGUGGCAGCACCCUCAAUAACAGGCCCCUGCGGUGGAGAAAUCUGUAGACAGAAUAAUGGAGUUUGAAAGUCUCCUCCCUUCUUGUGAACUAGCUUACCACAGCUCAUACAAUUCAAAAGUGUUUGCU
This 219-nucleotide unclassified non-coding RNA is filed under the name Hevea brasiliensis (rubber tree). Lineage: Eukaryota; Viridiplantae; Streptophyta; Magnoliopsida; Malpighiales; Euphorbiaceae. The record is from RNAcentral.